This 21-nucleotide microRNA is filed under the name Ananas comosus (pineapple). Its description in RNAcentral is "microRNA s0458_c59a". The record is from RNAcentral. Lineage: Eukaryota; Viridiplantae; Streptophyta; Magnoliopsida; Poales; Bromeliaceae.
GCCAAUUGGUAUGAUUUCCUA